GCCGUGGUGGUAGCAUUACUUGAGCCUCAGCUACCAAUCUAAGUUUCCAUUCCCACUAACGUAUUCGAAAACCGAUAACUAUUUCUAAAAACGAGUAGGGGUAUGUAUUCCCCACUGAUCUACCCAAAAAAAAAAAAAGUUCAAAAGUCUUAUACACCGCAAGACAAUAUAUCUAAAAUACAUAAAAUUAUACAAAGAGACCAA
Molecule: long non-coding RNA, 204 nt
Filed under: Amborella trichopoda
Lineage: Eukaryota; Viridiplantae; Streptophyta; Magnoliopsida; Amborellales; Amborellaceae
Description: long non-coding RNA (ATRI_LNC003120)
Source: RNAcentral